This 320-nucleotide ribosomal RNA is filed under the name uncultured Prevotella sp. RNAcentral describes it as "bacterial SSU rRNA". It matches the Rfam family "Bacterial small subunit ribosomal RNA", at positions 28 to 339 of the family's 1533-position model. The record is from RNAcentral. Lineage: Bacteria; Pseudomonadati; Bacteroidota; Bacteroidia; Bacteroidales; Prevotellaceae.
GAUGAACGCUAGCUACAGGCUUAACACAUGCAAGUCGAGGGGCAGCAUUAUCGAAGCUUGCUUUGAUAGAUGGCGACCGGCGCACGGGUGAGUAACGCGUAUCCAACCUUCCCCGUAGUAGGGCACAGCCCGGCGAAAGUCGGAUUAAUUCCCUAUGUUCUUGACAGCAGACAUCUAACGUCAAGCAAAGAUUCAUCGCUAUGGGAUGGGGAUGCGUCUGAUUAGGUUGCAGGCGGGGUAACGGCCCACCUGGCCUACGAUCAGUAGGGGUUCUGAGAGGAAGGUCCCCCACAUUGGAACUGAGACACGGUCCAAACUCC